This is an RNA transcript of Marmota monax (woodchuck), 4879 nucleotides long. RefSeq lists it as uncharacterized. The record is from RefSeq and is a predicted model, not a curated record. The transcript is spliced from 6 exons. Lineage: Eukaryota; Metazoa; Chordata; Mammalia; Rodentia; Sciuridae.
GGGGCUCCUCCGAAAGGCGGCGAAGGAGGGGGUCCAGUGAGCUCUGGGGAUACCUGGUGAAGGUUGUCUGAGAUCCUCCCAAUGGAAGAUGAGAGGAUGGAGACCCUCGUGGGCAGAGGGCUGAGGGGCAGGGUCCAAUGGGGCCGAGGAGCCCUUCAGUGUUGAGGGGGGCCAGGGACCUGGAGGGUUCAGGGAGGAGGGCUUCUGUGGCGCCUGGAGGUCUUGGAAGGGGCAGAAGAAGGAGCCGCCCAGUGGCUUUACUCUGUCCAGCCGUGCACAAUCGCCGCACAAAAGCUUGCGCAGUCCAGAAAUUCGCCCAGGCCCUGACCAGCGCGCGAGCUCAUUAGUCAUUUAGCAAACAGUUGCUGUAUGCCAACUCUGCCAGGCUGGGAAAACCGGCGCUUGGUAUGGAGAAAGCCCGCCGGACGGGGGCGACACCACAAGUGGAGAAACUUAACUGUUAAGCACCCACUGUGCCAGGAACCUUGAAAGUACUCCUGCAGCAGGAACACCACUUACAGGGGCACAAGCUGGCCCCAGGACUCUCUGCUCCCAGCAUGGAGCUUUGGGCAGUAAGGAUGGCCUCAUUGCUCAUGAUAGGCAAGCAGAGUCACGCCCCAGACCAGCUGACCAUGUGAUUCCUUCUUGGAAAGUGACCUUCACAAGCCAUCCCAAACCAGCCCAGGGACCACGUGCUCACCAGCUGGAGUGCCUCCAGGUCAGUGUGCAGGGUACCUGGGCCACGGAGGGCCUGUAGGGGCCCAAUAUACUCUGUCAGUCUUCAGUAGUGUGGGUUGGGCGGGGGUGGGGUGGUGCUGCGCCCCUCCCCUGACUCCCGAAAAGGCAAGGCCCUACUGAGGUGGAGGGCACAAGGCGUCCAUCCUCUGGAGGAGCGCAAUGUUUCUGGGAACGGGCUGGUUUGUUUUUUGUAUUCCUGCUAAUAAGUAUAGUUGCGACUUGUCAUAUAACCAUUACAUAUGAAGGAAAAAACAUGAAUUUUCCAAUUGACGCAAGUACUUCUAAAGAAUAAAUCUGUUUGCUCUAAAUGCAAGGAUUCAGCUGGAACGUAAAUUGUACCUGUGCACAAUGGUUUGAUGCUCUUACUCUUGAUUAAAAUUAGAAGCCUCUCUUUUCAAGCUAACCACUUGCCAUAACUGUGGCACCGCUUUUAGUAAGUCAAGAAAGAAUAGCCAAGGUGUAGGCCAAUAGCCUGGGACAUUUCUAUUAUUAAAAGCUAACUAAGCAGAAACAGCUCAAAGCAAAACACGAACUUAAAGUAAAAAUGUUUGCUUAUGCAUAAGCCAAGAUACAUUCUUACGUGGGGGGCCCUGGUUUCAAUCCUCAGCACCACAUAAGAAUGAAAUAAAGAUAAUGUGUCCAACUCCAACUAAAAAAUGUUUAAAAAAAAUGGGUUAUUUCUAACAUUUUAGACAUUUCAUUUAAAAAAAUCAGUGCUAGGUGUGGUAGCCUGUAGUCCCAGAAAUUUAGGAGGCUUAGGCAGGAAUAUCACAAGCCCAAGAUGAGACCCUGUCUCAAAAGACUGGUGCAGGGCUGGGGAUGUGGCUCAAGCGGUAACACACUCGCGUGGCAUGCACGGGCAGCACCACAUAAAAAUAUGUUGUGUCCGCCGAAAACUGAAAAACAUUAAAAAAAAUUCUCUUGAAAAAAAAAAAAAGACUGGUGCAGUGAUAAAGCACCCCUGGGUUCAAUCCCAGUACCAAAAAACUAAAUACUGAAAUAAUAAUUUAAAAAACCCUCCACACAUCCCUUUUCUUAGGACAGUUUCCACUUCAGCAAGGCCUUCCUUGCUUGUGGCCAGUGUGCUGGCAGGUGGGACUGUGCUCUGGGUCCCCAUGAAGCCCAGUGGGGGGAGUGCAAGAGCAUUUUCAAAUGUUCAGUCUGUCUAGGAGGCUGCCAACCACAACCCCCUCAGCUGAUCACCUGUGGGCUCCAGCUCCCUCCAGGCCAUCCUUCCUCAGUACCACCCUCUGGGGCCACCACCUUUCCAGGGACCUGGCCCACUAGAAGCCAGUGGAAACCAGAGGCCACCCAGGGCUGCGUCUUGAAGCCUUAUCCACCUCAGGCUGCCAGAGUGAAGCAGUGACCCACACUGCCCUGCUAAUAGCAGCAGGAAAUGCGGAGGUGUAGCUGGCUGAGGGGCCCUCGCCACCUGGAUGGUUCUGGCCUCCUACCCACUGCCCUUUGGAGUCUGCCCAAGUCGUAGGCCUGGCUAACUGGCCACCUGAACUGUUCUGCAGGACACUUUCGAGGAAUCAAGGCCACUAUAUCCUCCUACCUACUUUCUUACCUCCUGCUUGUGUAGGGUAAGGUCUGAGCAUCCUUCACUCUCAUACCACCCAUCAGCCCAGCUUAGAGGCCCCGCCACAGCCCUGCCUGUCCCCCCUCCUCCCCAAGAGUCCUACAAUGCAUUUUUUUGAGCAUGGCUGGGGCCUGAACAGGGAUGGCGUGAUCCUAGUCUGACCUGGGCCAUCAGAGGGGCAGACAAUAGCACGAUGAGCACCCACCGAGAGCCAUCUGAGGACUCUGGGCAAAUUUAGGAGAUUAGGAGGGUAUGAGGUCCUGCUGCUCACGUUCUCCACCUGCAGAGCCACCCCCCAAGUGGAGGGCCCGAGUCUGGCUGGGACAGCUGCCAAUCAGCACUCCUACCCUCCUGGGCCCUGAGGUGAUGGCCCAGGUGGAGUGAGCAGGGCUACCAUCCUCAGGAGCCACUGAAGGAAACCAGGGGCCCACGCUGCCCAUACACACCCAGUCCUUUAUAUCCAACCCGAAGCACAUCACAAAUCUGCACCAGCUCAGGGCCCUUCUGGGAAGAAUCCAUGGAAGAGGGAGCCUCCCCAACCCCCUGGCACUUCAAGGAUGAGCGGCACUCGCACAGGAGCUGGGUGUGCCUUUAUUGCCCAGGCAGGCUACUUGAGGGGGAUGAAGCGGGACGAAUGGGUGGCCCCAAUGCCAGGCCGGCCGUGCUUCACGGGCUUGUAGGUGAUGGAGAACUCGCCCAGGUAGUGGCCGAUCAUCUCGGGCUGUGGAGGUCAAGAGCAGGGGUCAGGGUGUGUGGGCAGACAGCGCAUCCGCGCACCCACACCCAGGGCACACCAUACACACCUUGAUCUCCACCUGGUUGAAGGUCUUGCCGUUGUAGACGCCAACCAUGCUGCCCACCAUUUCAGGCAGAAUUAUCAUGUCCCGCAGGUGUGUCUUCACCACCUCUGGCUUCUCCAUCGGGGGCGCCUCCUUUUUGGCCUUGCGCAGGCGCUUCAGCAGCGAGUGCUGCUUCCGCCGCAGGCCGCGGUUCAGCCGCCGCCGCUGGCGUGCGCUGUACAGCUGCAUCAGCUGCUCGCUGCGGGGGACAAGGCGGCGGGUGGGUGGGCUGCACGCCCCUCCUCUGGCCCCUACAGCGCAAGGACAGCAGGGACAUACCCAGGCCAGGCCCCGGAGCAGCGGAAGGCGGCGUCGCCGGGAACACGGGGCCAUCGGAGCCCUGGGCACGCAGCCACGGCCCACGCCCACCCGGGCCCUCCACAUCAAAGGCGUCUCCCGCCGGCUCCUUACUAGGACAUGUCCAGCAGCUGGUCGAGGUCCACGCCGCGGUAGGUGAACUUGCGGAAGGUCCGCUUCUUCUUCUGCUCCACUUCCGCCUGCGCGGGCGCGGACGGGGUUGAGUAGGGGCUCGAGACCCACCCCGCGGCCCCACGAACGCGCUCACAGGGCGUCCGGCCCCAGUACGGAAGCCCGCGGGCACACGUUUGUCCCGGGUCACCGGGGCUCAGCCGAGAAAUGCGGGCCCGGGGCCUUCCGCGCCCCGAGUGGUCCUCACACACCGGGACCGUCCCGCGCCCCCACCCGCAGCCCCGGAGGCUUGGAGCAGGCCGUCACAGCGCGGGGCAAGACCCCGGCCCCCGCGGGACGGCCGGAGGUCGGAUGGAGUUGGAUAGGGACCCACAGGGGCCGGGACGAGCAGCACUCACCAUCUUGCCGGCUUUGCGGAAAAGACCUCCCCGCCCCGCGCCCGCGAAGUUAUCGCGAGGCCUCCUCGGGCCCCGCCCCUUGGCCGUGCGCGCAUUUCCGCCUUCCAGCGGCAGAGGCCGCCCCCUGCCGUCCGGAGGGCAGAACACCGGCUUUGGGUAUCAAAGGGGCCGCCGCCUUGGGCCGAGUUGCCCUUUCCAAAACGCUGGUCUUGUUUGAACCUCAGGGUCUUGCAAAAAUAAGCCUGGCCUUGAAUGUGAUUCUCCUUCCUCAGCCUGCCGGGUUGCUGAGAUUACAGCACACCACACCACAGCCUGGAUGUGGGAAAGACCCAAGCUCCUGUAAGCGACUUUUGAGACAGGGUCUUGCUGAGUUGCCCAGGCUUGUCUUGAACUUGUGAUCCUUCUGCAUCAGCCUCCCAAGUUGCUGGGAUGACAGCACGUAUGUGUAUGUGGUCAAACUGGUCAGUGGGAAACGCCCUAAAGCCAUGUGCCAAGGAGGUGGGCUUCUAGCAAGACUGUGCCUGCUGCACAGGGUCCAGGCUGUGGAAGUCAGUGCUGCCACGUGGCCAGCCAAGAGUGACCCACCUCCACAGCGCACUGCAGAUGCUACCAGGCAGGCCGGCCGACAAAAGCAAGGAGUAAACAAAAAACAAAACACACUCAGUAGAUUUCUUUAGCUCCCAGAGUUUCUGGACCAACAAGUCCCAACCCCCAAGCCAGGAUCGAGGGGACCUAAAAACACCCCCCCUCCCACCAGUGCCGACCGAACCCUGUUUUUAAAUUAAAAAAUAAGCCAGUAUACAUCGUAGAAAAUUUUCUCUUAAAAAUCUCACAAUUUGUAAAUGUAUAUUUUUUCUUUAACAUAAAAGUUUACAAUAUACGGUAAAACAAAA